AGAGUUUGAUCCUGGCUCAGAUUGAACGCUGGCGGCAGGCCUAACACAUGCAAGUCGAGCGAGAAAGGUCUUCGGACUGAGUACAGCGGCGGACGGGUGAGUAAAGCGUAGGAAUCUACCUGGUAAUGGGGGAUAACUUGGGGAAACUCAAACUAAUACCGCAUACGCCCUACGGGGGAAAGCGGGGGACCUUCGGGCCUCGCGUUAUCAGAUGAGCCUGCGUAGGAUUAGCUAGUUGGUGAGGUAAAGGCUCACCAAGGCGACGAUCCUUAGCUGGUCUGAGAGGAUGAUCAGCCACACUGGGACUGAGACACGGCCCAGACUCCUACGGGAGGCAGCAGUGGGGAAUAUUGCGCAAUGGGCGAAAGCCUGACGCAGCCAUGCCGCGUGUGUGAAGAAGGCCCUAGGGUUGUAAAGCACUUUCAAUUGGGAAGAAAAGUUGGUCGUUAAUAGCGGCCAGCCUUGACAUUACCUUUAGAAGAAGGACCGGCUAACUCCGUGCCAGCAGCCGCGGUAAUACGGAGGGUCCGAGCGUUAAUCGGAAUUACUGGGCGUAAAGCGCGCGUAGGCGGUGUGUUAAGUCAGCUGUGAAAGCCCUGGGCUCAACCUGGGAACUGCAGUUGAUACUGGCACACUAGAGUAUGAAAGAGGGAGGUAGAAUUCCAUGUGUAGCGGUGAAAUGCGUAGAUAUAUGGAGGAAUACCAGUGGCGAAGGCGGCCUCCUGGUUCAGUACUGACGCUGAGGUGCGAAAGCGUGGGGAUCAACAGGAUUAGAUACCCUGGUAGUCCACGCCGUAAACGAUGUCUACUAGCCGUUGGGAGACUUGA
Molecule: ribosomal RNA, 828 nt
Filed under: uncultured bacterium
Lineage: Bacteria
Description: bacterial SSU rRNA
Rfam family: Bacterial small subunit ribosomal RNA
Source: RNAcentral